This 315-nucleotide ribosomal RNA is filed under the name uncultured eukaryote. RNAcentral's name for it is "partial 18S ribosomal RNA". It matches the Rfam family "Eukaryotic small subunit ribosomal RNA", at positions 1470 to 1796 of the family's 1831-position model. The record is from RNAcentral.
CCCUUAGACGUUCUGGGCCGCACGCGCGCUACACUGACCAGUGCAACAAGCAUCCGUCCUUGGCCGACAGGCUCGGGCAAUCUUUGAACGCUGGUCGUGAUGGGGAUAGACUUUUGCAAUUUUUGGUCUUCAACGAGGAAUUCCUAGUAAACGCAAGUCAUCAACUUGCAUUGAUUACGUCCCUGCCCUUUGUACACACCGCCCGUCGCACCUACCGAUUGAAUGGUCCGGUGAAGCCUCCGGAUUGGCGCGCACCUUGGUGCCGCCGAGAAGUUGGCUAAACCUUACCAUUUAGAGGAAGGUGAAGUCGUAACA